This 497-nucleotide ribosomal RNA is filed under the name uncultured bacterium. Its description in RNAcentral is "partial 16S ribosomal RNA". It matches the Rfam family "Bacterial small subunit ribosomal RNA", at positions 28 to 507 of the family's 1533-position model. The record is from RNAcentral.
GAUGCACGCUGGCGGCGUGCCUAAUACAUGCAGGUCGAGCGAACAGACGAGGAGCUUGCUCCUCUGACGUUAGCGGCGGACGGGUGAGUAACACGUGGAUAACCUACCUAUAAGACUGGGAUAACUUCGGGAAACCGGAGCUAAUACCGGAUAAUAUAUUGAACCGCAUGGUUCAAUAGUGAAAGACGGUUUUGCUGUCACUUAUAGAUGGAUCCGCGCCGCAUUAGCUAGUUGGUAAGGUAACGGCUUACCAAGGCAACGAUGCGUAGCCGACCUGAGAGGGUGAUCGGCCACACUGGAACUGAGACACGGUCCAGACUCCUACGGGAGGCAGCAGUAGGGAAUCUUCCGCAAUGGGCGAAAGCCUGACGGAGCAACGCCGCGUGAGUGAUGAAGGUCUUCGGAUCGUAAAACUCUGUUAUUAGGGAAGAACAAAUGUGUAGGUAACUAUGCACGUCUUGACGGUACCUAAUCAGAAAGCCACGGCUAACUACGUG